RNAcentral lists this ribosomal RNA (513 nucleotides) under uncultured bacterium. RNAcentral's name for it is "bacterial SSU rRNA". It matches the Rfam family "Bacterial small subunit ribosomal RNA", at positions 8 to 518 of the family's 1533-position model. The record is from RNAcentral.
AGAGUUUGAUCCUGGCUUAGGAUGAACGCUAGCUACAGGCUUAACACAUGCAAGUCGAGGGGUAGCAGGGUAGCAAUACCGCUGACGACCGCGCACGGGUGAGUAACACGUAUCCAACCUUCCCAUAACUCAGGGAUAGCCUUUCGAAAGAAAGAUUAAUACCUGAUAGUACUUUUUCAAGGCAUCUUGAGAAAGUUAAAGAUUUAUUGGUUAUGGAUGGGGAUGCGUUCCAUUAGAUAGUUGGCGAGGUAACGGCUCACCAAGUCUUCGAUGGAUAGGGGUUCUGAGAGGAAGGUCCCCCACAUUGGUACUGAGACACGGACCAAACUCCUACGGAAGGCAGCAGUGAGGAAUAUUGGUCAAUGGGCGAGAGCCUGAACCAGCCAAGUAGCGUGAAGGAAUGAAGGUCCUAUGGAUUGUAAACUUCUUUUAUAGUAGAAUAAAGUGAUCCACGUGUGGAUUUUUGUAUGUAUACUAUGAAUAAGGAUCGGCUAACUCCGUGCCAGCCGCCGC